RNAcentral lists this long non-coding RNA (907 nucleotides) under Theobroma cacao (cacao). Its description in RNAcentral is "long non-coding RNA (TCAC_LNC002839)". The record is from RNAcentral. Lineage: Eukaryota; Viridiplantae; Streptophyta; Magnoliopsida; Malvales; Malvaceae.
GUUUUUCCAGUCAAGGUCUUGACAAAAAUCUGCAUUCCUCCACGAAGCCUCAAAACAAGAUGAAGGGUUGAUUCCUUUUGUAUGUUGUAAUCAGCCAAGGUCCUCCCGUCCUCAAGCUGCUUCCCAGCGAAGAUCAAUCGUUGUUGGUCUGGUGGGAUCCCUUCCUUAUCUUGGAUCUUGGCCUUAACGUUAUCAAUCGUGUCCGAGCUCUCGACCUCCAGGGUUAUAGUCUUUCCUGUCAAGGUUUUGACAAAGAUUUGCAUGCCUCCACGGAGCCUGAGGACAAGGUGGAGAGUCGACUCCUUUUGGAUAUUAUAAUCAGCCAAAGUACGGCCGUCCUCCAGCUGUUUCCCGGCGAAGAUGAGCCGCUGUUGGUCGGGAGGGAUGCCUUCUUUGUCCUGGAUUUUGGCCUUGACGUUGUCGAUCGUGUCGGAACUCUCGACUUCGAGGGUGAUGGUUUUGCCGGUCAAAGUUUUGACAAAGAUUUGCAUACCGCCACGAAGACGGAGGACCAGGUGGAGAGUUGACUCCUUCUGGAUGUUAUAAUCCGCCAAGGUACGACCGUCUUCGAGCUGUUUCCCGGCGAAGAUGAGCCUUUGCUGGUCGGGUGGGAUCCCUUCCUUGUCUUGGAUCUUGGCCUUGACGUUGUCGAUCGUGUCGGAACUCUCCACUUCGAGGGUGAUGGUUUUACCGGUCAAGGUUUUGACGAAGAUCUGCAUACCGCCACGAAGACGGAGGACCAGGUGGAGAGUCGACUCCUUCUGGAUGUUGUAAUCCGCCAAGGUACGGCCGUCUUCGAGCUGUUUGCCACGCGAAGAUGAGCCUUUGCUGGUCGGGUGGGAUCCCUUCCUUGUCUUGGAUCUUGGCCUUAACGUUGUCGAUGGUGUCGGAACUCUCGACCUCGAGA